This 465-nucleotide ribosomal RNA is filed under the name uncultured Pseudomonadaceae bacterium. RNAcentral describes it as "bacterial SSU rRNA". It matches the Rfam family "Bacterial small subunit ribosomal RNA", at positions 338 to 795 of the family's 1533-position model. Lineage: Bacteria; Pseudomonadati; Pseudomonadota; Gammaproteobacteria; Pseudomonadales; Pseudomonadaceae. The record is from RNAcentral.
CCUACGGGAGGCUGCAGUGGGGAAUAUUGGACAAUGGGCGGAAGCCUGAUCCAGCCAUGCCGCGUGUGUGAAGAAGGUCUUCGGAUUGUAAAGCACUUUAAUUUGGGAGGAAGGGCAGUUAACGAAUACUUAACUGUUUUGACGUUACCAAAAGAAUAAGCACCGGCUAACUUCGUGCCAGCAGCCGCGGUAAUACGAAGGGUGCAAGCGUUAAUCGGAAUUACUGGGCGUAAAGCGCGCGUAGGUGGUUCGUUAAGUUGGAAGUGAAAGCCCCGGGCUCAACCUGGGAAUUGCUUUCAAAACUGGCGAGCUAGAGUACGGUAGAGGGUGGUGGAAUUUCCUGUGUAGCGGUGAAAUGCGUAGAUAUAGGAAGGAACAUCAGUGGCGAAGGCGACCACCUGGACUGAUACUGACACUGAGGUGCGAAAGCGUGGGGAGCAAACAGGAUUAGAUACCCCAGUAGUC